AGAGGCUUAGGAUAGCGCUAGACCAAAAGCCUUCAAAGCUUUAAGCGGGGGUUAAAAUCCCCCAGCCCCUG
Molecule: transfer RNA, 71 nt
Filed under: Galaxias olidus
Lineage: Eukaryota; Metazoa; Chordata; Actinopteri; Galaxiiformes; Galaxiidae
Description: tRNA-Trp
Rfam family: tRNA
About the family: Transfer RNA (tRNA) molecules are approximately 80 nucleotides in length. Their secondary structure includes four short double-helical elements and three loops (D, anti-codon, and T loops).
Source: RNAcentral